GAUGAACGCUGGCGGCGUGCUUAACACAUGCAAGUCGAACGAUGAAGCCCAGCUUGUUGGGUGGAUUAGUGGCGAACGGGUGAGUAACACGUGAGUAACCUGCCCUUAACUCUGGGAUAAGCAUGUGCAACUGGGUCUAAUACCUGACAGGUGCGUCCACCGACUGGAGGGUGUUGGAGAGAUUUAUCGGUUUUGGAUGGACUCGCGGCCUAUCCGCUUGUUAGUGAAGUAAUGGCACACGAACGCGAAGACAGGUAGCCGACCUGAGAGGGUGACCGGCCACACUGGGACUGAGGGACGGCCCAGUAUGGUACGGGAGGCAGCGGUGGAGAAUAUUGCGGAGUAGGCGCAAGCCAGAUGCAGCGGCGCCGCGUGCGGGAUGACGGCCUUUGAGUUGUGAACCUCUUUCAGUAUGGAUGAAGCGAACGUGACGGUACCUGCAGAAAAAGCACCGGCUAACUACGUG
This 466-nucleotide ribosomal RNA is filed under the name uncultured bacterium. RNAcentral describes it as "partial 16S ribosomal RNA". It matches the Rfam family "Bacterial small subunit ribosomal RNA", at positions 28 to 507 of the family's 1533-position model. The record is from RNAcentral.